GUCGCGCGCGAAAGGGGGGCAACCCCCGAGUAGAGCGGCGAACGGGUGAGUAACGCGUGGGUGAUCUGCCUCCGAGUGGGGAAUAACAGCGGGAAACUGCUGCUAAUACCGCAUGACAUCCUCGAGUCGUAUCGGGGAUCAAAGCCGGGGACCGCAAGGCCUGGCGCUUGGAGAUGAGCCCGCGUCCGAUUAGCUAGUAGGCGGGGUAACGGCCCACCUAGGCGACGAUCGGUAGCCGGCCUGAGAGGGCGGACGGCCACACUGGGACUGAGACACGGCCCAGACUCCUACGGGAGGCAGCAGUGGGGAAUUUUUCGCAAUGGGGGAAACCCUGACGAAGCAACGCCGCGUGGAGGAUGAAGGCCUUCGGGUCGUAAACUCCUGUCGACUGGGAAGAAAGCACCGCGACCCAAUACGUCGAGGUGUUGACUGUACCGGUGGAGGAAGCCACGGCUAACUCUGUGCCAGCAGCCGCGGUAAUACAGAGGUGGCAAGCGUUGUUCGGAAUUACUGGGCGUAAAGGGCGCGUAGGCGGUUUGCCAAGUCCCGUGUGAAAGCCCCCGGCUCAACCGGGGAACGGCGCGGGAAACUAGCGGGCUUGAGUUCGGGAGAGGGAAGCGGAAUUCCGGGUGUAGCGGUGAAAUGCGCAGAUAUCCGGAGGAACACCGGUGGCGAAGGCGGCUUCCUGGACCGACACUGACGCUGAGGCGCGAAAGCUAGGGGAGCAAACGGGAUUAGAUACCCCGGUAGUCCUAGCCCUAAACGAUGAGCACUGGGUGUAGAGGGUAUGAACCCCUUCUGUGCCGAAGCUAACGCAUUAAGUGCUCCGCCUGGGGAGUACGGUCGCAAGGCUGAAACUCAAAG
Molecule: ribosomal RNA, 864 nt
Filed under: uncultured bacterium
Lineage: Bacteria
Description: bacterial SSU rRNA
Rfam family: Bacterial small subunit ribosomal RNA
Source: RNAcentral